UACGUAGGUGGCAAGCGAUACUCGGAAUCACUAGGCGUAAAGCGCAGGUAGGCGGUUUGGAAAGUCUCUUGUGAAAGCUCCCGGCUCAACUGGGAGAGGUCAAGGGAAACUACCAGGCUAGAGUGCGGUAGAGGUAGCUGGAAUUCCCGGUGUAGCGGUGAAAUGCGUAGAUAUCGGGAGGAAUACCUAUGGCGAAAGCAGGCUACUGGACCGUCACUGACUCUGAUCUGCGAAAGCUAGGGGAGCAAACAGG
RNAcentral lists this ribosomal RNA (253 nucleotides) under uncultured bacterium. RNAcentral describes it as "partial 16S ribosomal RNA". It matches the Rfam family "Bacterial small subunit ribosomal RNA", at positions 524 to 776 of the family's 1533-position model. The record is from RNAcentral.